This 587-nucleotide ribosomal RNA is filed under the name uncultured bacterium. RNAcentral describes it as "bacterial SSU rRNA". It matches the Rfam family "Bacterial small subunit ribosomal RNA", at positions 338 to 916 of the family's 1533-position model. The record is from RNAcentral.
CCUACGGGAGGCAGCAGUAGGGAAUCUUCCACAAUGGGCGAAAGCCUGAUGGAGCAACGCCGCGUGAGUGAAGAAGGUCUUCGGAUCGUAAAGCUCUGUUGCACGGGACGAAAACUGGGUUUGAGAACAUUGAACCUGGGUGACGGUACCGAGCGAGGAAGCCACGGCUAACUACGUGCCAGCAGCCGCGGUAAUACGUAGGUGGCGAGCGUUGUCCGGAAUUAUUGGGCGUAAAGGGAGCGCAGGCGGACAUAUAAGUCCAUCUUAAAAGUGCGGGGCUCAACCCCGUGAGGGGAUGGAAACUGUAUGCCUUGAGUGCAGGAGAGGAAAGCGGAAUUCCCAGUGUAGCGGUGAAAUGCGUAGAUAUUGGGAGGAACACCAGUGGCGAAGGCGGCUUUCUGGACUGUAACUGACGCUGAGGCUCGAAAGCCAGGGGAGCGAACGGGAUUAGAUACCCCGGUAGUCCUGGCCGUAAACGAUGAAUGCUAGGUGUAGGAGGUAUCGACCCCUCCUGUGCCGGAGUUAACGCAAUAAGCAUUCCGCCUGGGGAGUACGGUCGCAAGACUGAAACUCAAAGGAAUUGACGG